Molecule: ribosomal RNA, 1405 nt
Filed under: metagenome
Description: bacterial LSU rRNA
Rfam family: Bacterial large subunit ribosomal RNA
Source: RNAcentral
AAAAUCCGCAGACCGAGGUGAGAUAAGGCAGCGAGCCCCUGAGGCGUAAGUGAGUUGAGCCUUGUUGCCAAGAAAAGCUUCUAAACGUUGAUUCUUAAGUGCCUGUACCGCAAUCCGACACAGGUAGAUGGGUAGAAUAUACCAAGGCGAACGGGAGAACCUUCGUUAAGGAACUAGGCAAUUUGGCCUCGUAACUUCGGGAUAAGAGGUGUCUUCUGGCGUGAGUGAAUAAUGAGCGCUGGAAGAUCGCAGUGAAAUGGUUCUAGGGACUGGUUAACAAAACCACAGGUCUCUGCAAAGCCGUAAGGCGAUGUAUAGGGGCUGACACCUGCCCAGUGCCGGAAGGUUAAAGGGAGAGGUUAGUUCCCCUUCGGGGGAACGAAGCUUUGAACUGAAGCCCCGGUGAACGGCGGCCGUAACUAUAACGGUCCUAAGGUAGCGAAAUUCCUUGUCGGGUAAGUUCCGACCCGCACGAAAGGUGUAACAACUAGAACAGUGUCUCGACGAAGGACCCGGCGAAAUUGAAAUGGCUGUGAAGAUGCGGCCUACCCGCAGUAGGACAAAAAGACCCCGUGGAGCUUUACUGCAACUUGGCAUUGAGUUUGGAUUUCAUUUGUGUAGGAUAGGUGGGAGGCUAUGAAACUAGGGCGCCAGCCUUGGUGGAGCCGCCGGUGAAAUACCACCCUGAUGAACUCUAGACCCUAACCUUUAUCCGUAAUCCGGAUAAGGGACCGUGCCAGGUGGGCAGUUUGACUGGGGCGGUCGCCUCCUAAAGAGUAACGGAGGCGCCCAAAGGUUCCCUCAGGCUGAAUGGAAACCAGCCAGAGAGUGUAAAGGCAUAAGGGAGCUUAACUGCAAGGCCAACGCGCCGAGCAGAGACGAAAGUCGGGCUUAGUGAUCCCACGGUUCCGUGUGGAAGGGCCGUGGCUCAUCGGAUAAAAGCUACCCCGGGGAUAACAGGCUAGUCAGGUCCAAGAGUCCAUAUCGACGACCUGGCUCGGCACCUCGAUGUCGGCUCAUCGCAUCCUGGGGCUGGAUAAGGUCCCAAGGGUCGGGCUGUUCGCCCGUUAAAGCGGUACGCGAGCUGGGUUCAGACCGUCGUGAGACAGGUCGGUCUCUAUCCACUGUGGGCGUAAGAGAUUUGAGAGGAGCUGCUCCUAGUACGAGAGGACCGGAGUGGACAGACCUCUGGUGUGCCAGCUGUCGUGCCAACGGCAUUGCUGGGUAGCUACGUCUGGCAGAGAUAACCGCUGAAGGCAUCUAAGCGGGAAACUUGCCUCAAGAUUAGAUCUCUAUAAUCCCGUAAAGGGAGUAAGAUCGCAGGUAGACUACCUGCUUGAUAGGCAGUAUGUGUAAGCGCAGUAAUGCGUUGAGCUAAACUGUACUAAUGAUCGAGAGCUUCCAA